Molecule: unclassified non-coding RNA, 621 nt
Filed under: Scedosporium boydii
Lineage: Eukaryota; Fungi; Ascomycota; Sordariomycetes; Microascales; Microascaceae
Description: sequence contains 18S rRNA gene, ITS1, 5.8S rRNA gene, ITS2, 28S rRNA gene
Rfam family: 5.8S ribosomal RNA (bases 216-369)
Source: RNAcentral
AGUCGUAACAAGGUCUCCGUUGGUGAACCAGCGGAGGGAUCAUUACAGAGUUACUACUCCAAACCCAUUGUGAACCUUACCUAUGUUCUGUUGCCUCGGCGGCGUGGUCAGCGCCCCCCUCUGAAAAGAGGACGAUGCCCUCCCGCCGGCAGCACCAAACUCUUUGAAUUUUACAGCGGAUUACAGUUCUGAUUUGAAAACAAAAAACAAGUUAAAACUUUCAACAACGGAUCUCUUGGUUCUGGCAUCGAUGAAGAACGCAGCGAAAUGCGAUAAGUAAUGUGAAUUGCAGAAUUCAGUGAAUCAUCGAAUCUUUGAACGCACAUUGCGCCCGGCAGUAAUCUGCCGGGCAUGCCUGUCCGAGCGUCAUUUCAACCCUCGAACCUCCGUUUCCUCAGGGAAGCUCAGGGUCGGUGUUGGGGCGCUACGGCGAGUCUUCGCGACCCUCCGUAGGCCCUGAAAUACAGUGGCGGUCCCGCCGCGGUUGCCUUCUGCGUAGUAAGUCUCUUUUGCAAGCUCGCAUUGGGUCCCGGCGGAGGCCUGCCGUCAAACCACCUAUAACUCCAGAUGGUUUGACCUCGGAUCAGGUAGGGUUACCCGCUGAACCUAAGCAUAUCAAUA